Molecule: long non-coding RNA, 366 nt
Organism: Mus musculus (house mouse)
Lineage: Eukaryota; Metazoa; Chordata; Mammalia; Rodentia; Muridae
Product: predicted gene, 31431
Exons: 3
Source: RefSeq, a predicted model, not a curated record
AAGAAAAUACCAAGGAGACUGAAGAGAGAUGCUGGACAUCACAUCACCACAAGAUGUCCUUGAAACGGAAACGACAGCAAUUACUACUAAGCAUAGGUUCAACACUGUAGACAAAUUGGAAUAAACGGGAGUAAAAUACUGGUAUCACUCAAGCAGAAGGACUAUUGUUCAGUGUAGAGAGCACCGCUGAUGACGUUUUUGAUGUUAUCACAACAACCGUAUGCUACCCUACUUCAGUUUCAUUACAAAGGUUGCAUAUGUGAUCCUGGCAGAAAGAAGAGACAAGACAAGUGAAAGCAUUGCAUUGAAAGGGAAGUUUAAAAACUAGUAAUUUUUCUCUUAAACAUAAAAUAUUUUAUUAAAGGU